This 450-nucleotide ribosomal RNA is filed under the name uncultured bacterium. RNAcentral describes it as "partial 16S ribosomal RNA". It matches the Rfam family "Bacterial small subunit ribosomal RNA", at positions 354 to 796 of the family's 1533-position model. The record is from RNAcentral.
GUGGGGAAUAUUGGACAAUGGGCGAAAGCCUGAUCCAGCCAUGCCGCGUGUGUGAAGAAGGUCUUCGGAUUGUAAAGCACUUUAAGUUGGGAGGAAGGGCAGUAAGCUAAUACCUUGCUGUUUUGACGUUACCGACAGAAUAAGCACCGGCUAACUUCGUGCCAGCAGCCGCGGUAAUACGAAGGGUGCAAGCGUUAAUCGGAAUUACUGGGCGUAAAGCGCGCGUAGGUGGUUUUGUAAGUUGGAGGUGAAAUCCCCGGGCUCAACCUGGGAACUGCCUCCAAAACUGCAUGACUAGAGUACGGUAGAGGGUAGUGGAAUUUCCUGUGUAGCGGUGAAAUGCGUAGAUAUAGGAAGGAACACCAGUGGCGAAGGCGACUACCUGGACUGAUACUGACACUGAGGUGCGAAAGCGUGGGGAGCAAACAGGAUUAGAACCCCGGGUAGUCC